This 799-nucleotide non-coding RNA is filed under the name Siboglinum ekmani. Lineage: Eukaryota; Metazoa; Annelida; Polychaeta; Sabellida; Siboglinidae. The record is from RNAcentral.
UAAGUUUAAUUCUAGCUAACUAAUUUAUUUAUUUUUUAUUUAUACAUGCAAAACUUUAUAUUCCCAUAAAAUACUUUAUUAUUUAUUUUUAAUAUAUACACACUAUACUUAUUUUAUGCCAGCAGUAAUUAAAUCUAGAUAAAUUAUUUAAGUAAGUUCUGAUUAAAAAUUUAAAGUUGGUAAAAUUCGUGCCAGCUACCGCGGUUAAACGAUAAACUUAAAUAAAUUUUUAUAGAAAAAUGAAAAUUUAUAUUUAUUUUGAUAUGUUUUAAUUAAAAAAUAGUUUAAUAUUAAUAAUAUUAUUAUACUAUAAAUAUCUUUUAAAUUUAAUCAUGAAAGUUAAAACAAAAACAAGGAUUAGAUACCCUUUUAUUCUUAACCAUAAAAAUCUAGGGAACUACAAAUACAUAUUUAAAACCCAAAGAAUUUGGCAGUAUUUUAUCUUACUAGGGGAAUCUGUUUUUUAAUUCGACAAUCCACGUAUAUCUUAUUAUAAUUAGAUUUUAAUCAACUUGUAUACUGCCGUCAUCAGUUUAUCAUAAAAAUGAUAAUAAACUUUAAAAAUUAUAAAUUUAUAUGUCAGGUCAAAGUACAGUCUAUAUUAUAAUUAAAAUGGAUUACAAUCUCUACUAAAGUUAUUAGAUAAAUUAUGAAAAUAAAUUUGAAAUAGGACUUAAAAGUAAUUCUAAAUAUUAAAUUAGUAUGAAUAUAGAUAUCUAAAAUAUGUACAUAUCGCCCGUCACUCUUUUCGAAAGAAAAGAAAAGUCGUAACAAAGUAGGCGUAAUGGAAAUUGUGCCU